This 492-nucleotide ribosomal RNA is filed under the name uncultured bacterium. Its description in RNAcentral is "partial 16S ribosomal RNA". It matches the Rfam family "Bacterial small subunit ribosomal RNA", at positions 29 to 507 of the family's 1533-position model. The record is from RNAcentral.
AGUGAACGCUGGCGGUAGGCCUAACACAUGCAAGUCGAACGGCAGCACAGUAAGAGCUUGCUCUUACGGUUGGCGAGUGGCGGACGGGUGAGGAAUACAUCGGAAUCUACUUUUUCGUGGGGGAUAACGUAGGGAAACUUACGCUAAUACCGCAUACUACCUACGGGUGAAAGCAGGGGAUCUUCGGACCUUGCGCGAUUGAAUGAGCCGAUGUCGGAUUAGCUAGUUGGCGGGGUAAAGGCCCACCAAGGCGACGAUCCGUAGCUGGUCUGAGAGGAUGAUCAGCCACACUGGAACUGAGACACGGUCCAGACUCCUACGGGAGGCAGCAGUGGGAAAUAUUGGACAAUGGGCGCAAGCCUGAUCCAGCCAUACCGCGUGGGUGAAGAAGGCCUUCGGGUUGUAAAGCCCUUUUGUUGGGAAAGAAAAGCAGCAGGUUAAUACCCCGCUGUUCUGACGGUACCCAAAGAAUAAGCACCGGCUAACUUCGUG